GUAUUUUUCUAAUCUUACAUUUGUCCCUUGUUAAUAUAGAGAGAAACCAAAACAGCAUCACCAAAAUGUUCCAUGACUAACGAGUAUCAGCCUUUCAAGAUGUUCAAACUAAAGCACAAUCAUUUUUUCAUUAGCCUUAAAGGAGUAAAAAUAGUUGGGAUCACAGCUGCUUCUAAUCUAACCUUAUCGUGCACCAGAAAGAAAUUUUACAAAAGGGUGAAGAAAGAGAAGACAUGUACACGCAUGAAACUAUUCCAACACGUGAACCUCUCAUUCUCAUCAUUAA
Molecule: unclassified non-coding RNA, 286 nt
Filed under: Hevea brasiliensis (rubber tree)
Lineage: Eukaryota; Viridiplantae; Streptophyta; Magnoliopsida; Malpighiales; Euphorbiaceae
Source: RNAcentral